GUCGAGCGCUACCUUCGGGUGGAGCGGCGGACGGGUUAGUAACGCGUGGGAAUAUACCCUUCACUAAGGAAUAGCCACUGGAAACGGUGAGUAAUACCUUAUACGCCCUUCGGGGGAAAGAUUUAUCGGUGAAGGAUUAGCCCGCGUUAGAUUAGAUAGUUGGUGGGGUAACGGCCUACCAAGUCGACGAUCUAUAGCUGGUUUGAGAGGAUGAUCAGCAACACUGGGACUGAGACACGGCCCAGACUCCUACGGGAGGCAGCAGUGGGGAAUCUUAGACAAUGGGCGCAAGCCUGAUCUAGCCAUGCCGCGUGAGUGAUGAAGGUCUUAGGAUCGUAAAGCUCUUUCGCCAGGGAUGAUAAUGACAGUACCUGGUAAAGAAACCCCGGCUAACUCCGUGCCAGCAGCCGCGGUAAUACGGAGGGGGUUAGCGUUGUUCGGAAUUACUGGGCGUAAAGCGUACGUAGGCGGAUUGGAAAGUUGGGGGUGAAAUCCCAGGGCUCAACCCUGGAACUGCCUCCAAAACUAACAGUCUAGAGUUCGAGAGAGGUGAGUGGAAUUCCAAGUGUAGAGGUGAAAUUCGUAGAUAUUUGGAGGAACACCAGUGGCGAAGGCGGCUCACUGGCUCGAUACUGACGCUGAGGUACGAAAGUGUGGGGAGCAAACAGGAUUAGAUACCCUGGUAGUCCACACCGUAAACGAUGAAUGCCAGUCGUCGGGCAGUAUACUGUUCGGUGACACACCUAACGGAUUAAGCAUUCCGCCUGGGGGAGUACGGUCGCAAGAUU
This 788-nucleotide ribosomal RNA is filed under the name uncultured bacterium. RNAcentral's name for it is "bacterial SSU rRNA". It matches the Rfam family "Bacterial small subunit ribosomal RNA", at positions 61 to 895 of the family's 1533-position model. The record is from RNAcentral.